UUAUCUUCAUCUUCUUUUGCUUCUUUCUUUUCUUUUUCGUCUUUGGUUUCUUCCUUUUCUCUUAUUUCAUUAUCUGCUUCUUUUUCUUCAGUUUCUUUGCUUUCUUUGUUCUGCACUUUGUCCAUAUCCAUAAUUUGGGCCUCGUCUUUCCCAUCAUCCUUUUUAUCUGUUGCCAUCUUUGUUACUGCAUUAUUUCUAUUUCUUCUGUGUCACAACCUCACCCUUCUCCUCUGGCUUAGCAUUGCCAUUUGCAGCUGCCUUAGGUUUAUUCACUCAUAAUUAUUGGAACAUAAAGAUUGAACUUAUUCUACAACCUUUCUUUACUUACCAAAACUGCAUACAGAAAAUAGAAGAGAAUAACAUAUUUCAUGAGAAAAUAAAUUCAAAAG
Molecule: long non-coding RNA, 389 nt
Filed under: Olea europaea subsp. europaea
Lineage: Eukaryota; Viridiplantae; Streptophyta; Magnoliopsida; Lamiales; Oleaceae
Source: RNAcentral